CCCUCUGUCACGAUUCAACCCAAUCUAC
RNAcentral lists this small RNA (28 nucleotides) under Bombyx mori (domestic silkworm). RNAcentral describes it as "ovarian small RNA-13739". Lineage: Eukaryota; Metazoa; Arthropoda; Insecta; Lepidoptera; Bombycidae. The record is from RNAcentral.